AGAGUUUGAUCCUGGCUCAGAGCGAACGUUAGCGGCGGGCCUAACACAUGCAAGUCGAACGAGAACGCUCCUUCGGGAGUUAUUAAAGUGGCGCACGGGUGAGGAACGCGUAGGUAAUCUACCCUCCGGCGGGGGACAACAUUCCGAAGGGAAUGCUAAUACCGCGUAAGACCACGCCCACUGCGGUGGAAGUGGUUAAAGACGGCCUCUUCUUGAAAGCCGUCACCAGAGGAUGAGCCUGCGUCCCAUCAGCUUGUUGGUGAGGUAAUGGCUUACCAAGGCGAAGACGGGUAGCUGGUCUGAGAGGAUGAUCAGCCACACUGGCACUGGAACACGGGCCAGACUCCUACGGGAGGCAGCAGUGAGGAAUAUUGGGCAAUGGGCGCAAGCCUGACCCAGCCACGCCGCGUGUGUGAUGAAGGCCUUCGGGUCGUAAAGCACUGUGGGGAGAGACGAACAAUUUCCGUCCUAAUACGACGGAGACCUGACGGUACCUCCUUAGCAAGCACCGGCUAACUCUGUGCCAGCAGCCGCGGUAAUACAGAGGGUGCAAACGUUGCUCGGAUUUACUGGGCGUAAAGCGCGUGUAGGCGGACUCGCAAGUCGGUUGUGAAAUCCCUGGGCUUAACCUAGGAACUGCAUCCGAAACUGCGUGUCUUGAGUAAUGGAGAGGGUGGCGGAAUUUCCGGUGUAGAGGUG
This 699-nucleotide ribosomal RNA is filed under the name uncultured bacterium. Its description in RNAcentral is "bacterial SSU rRNA". It matches the Rfam family "Bacterial small subunit ribosomal RNA", at positions 8 to 683 of the family's 1533-position model. The record is from RNAcentral.